Molecule: transfer RNA, 70 nt
Filed under: Loxodonta africana (African savanna elephant)
Lineage: Eukaryota; Metazoa; Chordata; Mammalia; Proboscidea; Elephantidae
Rfam family: tRNA
About the family: Transfer RNA (tRNA) molecules are approximately 80 nucleotides in length. Their secondary structure includes four short double-helical elements and three loops (D, anti-codon, and T loops).
Source: Rfam by way of RNAcentral
GCAGCGGUGGUUCAGUGGUAGAAUUCUCACCUUCCAUGCAGGAGGCCUGGGUUCGAGUCCAGCCAAUGCC